Molecule: long non-coding RNA, 564 nt
Organism: Vombatus ursinus (common wombat)
Lineage: Eukaryota; Metazoa; Chordata; Mammalia; Diprotodontia; Vombatidae
Exons: 3
Source: RefSeq, a predicted model, not a curated record
GAUAAAGAAAAAAGGCUUUGAUCAGGAGGUUUGGGGGAGGGGAGGAGGAAUUAGGAACAUCUUAUUGGUGAAGCCAAAAUCUAUAUGGAUAAAGUAUGUAAGUGUAUAUUAAAAAAAACGAAACAAAACUUGAUUCCUUCUUCUCAGGCCUGCCUCAUUAGAUGACCUUCGGUAUUGGAAGAGAUGGUCUCAACCUAGGGAGACUUGUCCAAGAUCACAUAGGUAUUGAAUGUCAAAGGGGCAGAUGACCUCCCUCCACGGCCUGAAUUAAAAGACACAGUGUGUCAGAGUAGACAGAAUGCUGGCAACUUGGGAGUCAAAAAGACCUGGAUUCGAAUCCUAUCUUGGACAUUUACUGUCUAGGAGAUCGUGGUCAAGGUAACCUGUCAAGGGGCCUCACUUUUCUCAUCUGUAAAACGGGCACAAUAAUCCUUGCCCAAUUCUCCUCUCCCAGGGCUGCUGGGAGUGAGCUUCUGCCACUGUGCGGUCAAGUGAGAUCAUAGCUUUAGAGCUGGAAGGAAGCUUUAAGGUUGUUUAGCUCAACCCUCUCAUUUUACAGAUGAG